AAGGAGGAUCAUUACAGAGUAAAGUCAUCAUCUCUUGACUUUGAAAUGAUGGACUUUGUUGUUGCAUCUGCCAAGGACAAAAAUUGGUUUUAUGUCAUUUCGCAGCCUAAGAAAUGCUGGACUUGUGAGCACAUUGAUGUAGCUUUCUACUAUCUCCAAAAAAAUUCAAAUCCAAACUGCCCAAUCAAUACAGAUACACAAUAACGAAUUGUCUGUUCAAAAGUUAUAUCAACAAUGCACAUGUGAGGUAUUAUCAAGGUGCUGCUGAUAACAAUCUUGAUACGUUGGAAGACAUAGUAAUUACGGCGUCUGUAUCUAAAUAGAAUCUUCUCUUCCAAACAUCAGCAAAGGAUUUUCCAUCCCGGCAGAUUUACCUUGGCAUCUAGUAGAUGAUGUAUACAUUCCUGUAAACUGCGAUGGAGAGUUCCAUUGGGUUCUUGCUGUGGUUGUUCUGAAACGUCGCCUAAUUUUUGUAUACAAUUCAUCAUUAGGCUCAAGAAAAAUAUAAUCGCCAGGCGAGAUAAAGAAAUUAUCCUUAAUGCUGCCAGUUUACCUGCAAGACAGUCUAUUCUAUGAGCAAACUGAAUGAAAUGAUUGGUCACCACUGAGUGCUUACAAGGAUAAGGAAAUCGACAGUUUUGGGGGACCAGAGCACCUGUUUUAAAAUCGAUUUUGUACAAGGGACUGCUGGUUAUAUGUGGCUGCAUUUGCUGAAUUCCUUAGCGAGGGGAUUUCAAUUUCCACUGAUGCGAUU
Solanum dulcamara is the source of this 754-nucleotide long non-coding RNA. RefSeq lists it as uncharacterized. The record is from RefSeq and is a predicted model, not a curated record. NCBI's taxonomy places the organism in Eukaryota, Viridiplantae, Streptophyta, Magnoliopsida, Solanales, Solanaceae. The transcript is spliced from 3 exons.